GGUUAAGCGACUAAGCGUACACGGUGGAUGCCCUGGCAGUCAGAGGCGAUGAAGGACGUGCUAAUCUGCGAUAAGCGUCGGUAAGGUGAUAUGAACCGUUAUAACCGGCGAUUUCCGAAUGGGGAAACCCAGUGUGAUUCGUCACACUAUCAUUAACUGAAUCCAUAGGUUAAUGAGGCGAACCGGGGGAACUGAAACAUCUAAGUACCCCGAGGAAAAGAAAUCAACCGAGAUUCCCCCAGUAGCGGCGAGCGAACGGGGAGCAGCCCAGAGCCUGAAUCAGUGUGUGUGUUAGUGGAAGCGUCUGGAAAGGCGCGCGAUACAGGGUGACAGCCCCGUACACAAAAAUGCACAUACUGUGAGCUCGAUGAGUAGGGCGGGACACGUGGUAUCCUGUCUGAAUAUGGGGGGACCAUCCUCCAAGGCUAAAUACUCCUGACUGACCGAUAGUGAACCAGUACCGUGAGGGAAAGGCGAAAAGAACCCCGGCGAGGGGAGUGAAAAAGAACCUGAAACCGUGUACGUACAAGCAGUGGGAGCACGCUUAGGCGUGUGACUGCGUACCUUUUGUAUAAUGGGUCAGCGACUUAUAUUCUGUAGCAAGGUUAACCGAAUAGGGGAGCCGAAGGGAAACCGAGUCUUAACUGGGCGUUAAGUUGCAGGGUAUAGACCCGAAACCCGGUGAUCUAGCCAUGGGCAGGUUGAAGGUUGGGUAACACUAACUGGAGGACCGAACCGACUAAUGUUGAAAAAUUAGCGGAUGACUUGUGGCUGGGGGUGAAAGGCCAAUCAAACCGGGAGAUAGCUGGUUCUCCCCGAAAGCUAUUUAGGUAGCGCCUCGUGAAUUCAUCUCCGGGGGUAGAGCACUGUUUCGGCAAGGGGGUCAUCCCGACUUACCAACCCGAUGCAAACUGCGAAUACCGGAGAAUGUUAUCACGGGAGACACACGGCGGGUGCUAACGUCCGUCGUGAAGAGGGAAACAACCCAGACCGCCAGCUAAGGUCCCAAAGUCAUGGUUAAGUGGGAAACGAUGUGGGAAGGCCCAGACAGCCAGGAUGUUGGCUUAGAAGCAGCCAUCAUUUAAAGAAAGCGUAAUAGCUCACUGGUCGAGUCGGCCUGCGCGGAAGAUGUAACGGGGCUAAACCAUGCACCGAAGCUGCGGCAGCGACGCUGAUGCGUUGUUGGGUAGGGGAGCGUUCUGUAAGCCUGUGAAGGUGUGCUGUGAGGCAUGCUGGAGGUAUCAGAAGUGCGAAUGCUGACAUAAGUAACGAUAAAGCGGGUGAAAAGCCCGCUCGCCGGAAGACCAAGGGUUCCUGUCCAACGUUAAUCGGGGCAGGGUGAGUCGACCCCUAAGGCGAGGCCGAAAGGCGUAGUCGAUGGGAAACAGGUUAAUAUUCCUGUACUUGGUGUUACUGCGAAGGGGGGACGGAGAAGGCUAUGUUGGCCGGGCGACGGUUGUCCCGGUUUAAGCGUGUAGGCUGGUUUUCCAGGCAAAUCCGGAAAAUCAAGGCUGAGGCGUGAUGACGAGGCACUACGGUGCUGAAGCAACAAAUGCCCUGCUUCCAGGAAAAGCCUCUAAGCAUCAGGUAACAUCAAAUCGUACCCCAAACCGACACAGGUGGUCAGGUAGAGAAUACCAAGGCGCUUGAGAGAACUCGGGUGAAGGAACUAGGCAAAAUGGUGCCGUAACUUCGGGAGAAGGCACGCUGAUAUGUAGGUGAAGCGACUUGCUCGUGGAGCUGAAAUCAGUCGAAGAUACCAGCUGGCUGCAACUGUUUAUUAAAAACACAGCACUGUGCAAACACGAAAGUGGACGUAUACGGUGUGACGCCUGCCCGGUGCCGGAAGGUUAAUUGAUGGGGUCAGCGCAAGCGAAGCUCUUGAUCGAAGCCCCGGUAAACGGCGGCCGUAACUAUAACGGUCCUAAGGUAGCGAAAUUCCUUGUCGGGUAAGUUCCGACCUGCACGAAUGGCGUAAUGAUGGCCAGGCUGUCUCCACCCGAGACUCAGUGAAAUUGAACUCGCUGUGAAGAUGCAGUGUACCCGCGGCAAGACGGAAAGACCCCGUGAACCUUUACUAUAGCUUGACACUGAACAUUGAGCCUUGAUGUGUAGGAUAGGUGGGAGGCUUUGAAGUGUGGACGCCAGUCUGCAUGGAGCCGACCUUGAAAUACCACCCUU
This 2181-nucleotide ribosomal RNA is filed under the name Escherichia coli. RNAcentral describes it as "partial 23S ribosomal RNA". It matches the Rfam family "Bacterial large subunit ribosomal RNA", at positions 1 to 2207 of the family's 2925-position model. Lineage: Bacteria; Pseudomonadati; Pseudomonadota; Gammaproteobacteria; Enterobacterales; Enterobacteriaceae. The record is from RNAcentral.